GAUCCUGGCUCAGGACGAACGCUGGCGGCGUGCCUAACACAUGCAAGUCGAACGGAGAAUUUUAUUUCGGUAGAAUUCUUAGUGGCGAACGGGUGAGUAACGCGUAGGCAACCUACCCUUUAGACGGGGACAACAUUCCGAAAGGAGUGCUAAUACCGGAUGUGAUCAUCGUGCCGCAGUGGCAGGAUGAAGAAAGAUGGCCUCUACUAGUAAGCUAUCGCUAAAGGAUGGGCCUGCGUCUGAUUAG
RNAcentral lists this ribosomal RNA (247 nucleotides) under uncultured bacterium. RNAcentral's name for it is "partial 16S ribosomal RNA". It matches the Rfam family "Bacterial small subunit ribosomal RNA", at positions 15 to 244 of the family's 1533-position model. The record is from RNAcentral.